UUUCCGUAGGUGAACCUGCGGAAGGAUCAUUACCGAGCUUACAACUCCCAAACCCCUAUGUGAACGUUACCAAACUGUUGCCUCGGCGGGAAAUUCAUGCCCCGGGCGCGUCGCAGCCCCGGACCAAGGCGCCCGCCGGAGGACCAACCAAAACUCUUUUGUAUGUCCCUCGCGGACUUUUAUAAUUCUGAACCAUCUCGGCGCCCCUAGCGGGCGUUUCGAAAAUGAAUCAAAACUUUCAACAACGGAUCUCUUGGUUCUG
RNAcentral lists this unclassified non-coding RNA (262 nucleotides) under plant metagenome. RNAcentral's name for it is "partial contains small subunit ribosomal RNA, internal transcribed spacer 1, and 5.8S ribosomal RNA". The record is from RNAcentral.